CACUUUGAGUUACGAUAAUUACUAUAUUAAUUUACAAGAUUAUAGUAACUCUUUACUAAGUAGUUUACUAUAGCAUUACGGUAAAUAUCUUCACGUGUUAUAGUAAUCCAACUAUUUUAAAUAUGUAUACAUAUUAUCAUAAAUUAGUAAAUAAAAUUAUCGUAAAUGGAGGUG
This 174-nucleotide microRNA precursor is filed under the name Sorghum bicolor (sorghum). Its description in RNAcentral is "MIR6217 microRNA precursor family". It matches the Rfam family "MIR6217 microRNA precursor family", at positions 28 to 201 of the family's 228-position model. The record is from Rfam by way of RNAcentral. Lineage: Eukaryota; Viridiplantae; Streptophyta; Magnoliopsida; Poales; Poaceae.